RNAcentral lists this ribosomal RNA (239 nucleotides) under uncultured Actinomycetales bacterium. RNAcentral describes it as "partial 16S ribosomal RNA". It matches the Rfam family "Bacterial small subunit ribosomal RNA", at positions 94 to 334 of the family's 1533-position model. The record is from RNAcentral. Lineage: Bacteria; Bacillati; Actinomycetota; Actinomycetes; Actinomycetales.
AGUGGCGAACGGGUGAGUAACACGUGAGUAACCUGCCCUUAACUCUGGGAUAAGCCUGGGAAACUGGGUCUAAUACCGGAUAGGAGCGUCUACCGCAUGGUGGGUGUUGGAAAGAUUUAUCGGUUUUGGAUGGACUCGCGGCCUAUCAGCUUGUUGGUGAGGUAAUGGCUCACCAAGGCGACGACGGGUAGCCGGCCUGAGAGGGUGACCGGCCACACUGGGACUGAGACACGGCCCAG